GUCUGAUGGAGCACGCCGCGUGAGUGAAGAAGGGUUUCGGCUCGUAAAACUCUGUUGUUAGAGAAGAACAGCCGUGAGAGCAACUGCUCACGGUAUGACGGUAUCUAACCAGAAAGUCACGGCUAACUACGUGCCAGCAGCCGCGGUAAUACGUAGGUGGCAAACGUUGUCCGGAUUUAUUGGGCGUAAAGGGAGCGCAGGCGGUUUAUUAAGUCUGAUGUGAAAGCCUUCGGCUUAACCGGAGAAGUGCAUCGGAAACUGAUAAACUUGAGUGCAGAAAAGGAUAGUGGAACUUCAUGUGUAGCGGUGAAAUGCGUAGAUAUAUGAAGGAACACCAGUGGCGAAGGCGGCUAUCUGGUCUGUAACUGACGCUGAGGCUCGAAAGCAUGGGUAGCAAACAGGAUUAGAUACCCUGGUAGUCCAUGCCGUAAACGAUGAAUGCUAGGUGUUGGAAGGUUUCCGCCUUUCAGUGCCGCAGCUAACGCAUUAAGCAUUCCGCCUGGGGAGUACGACCGCAAGGUUGAAACUCAAAGGAAUUGACGGGGACCCGCACAAGCGGUGGAGCAUGUGGUUUAAUUCGAUGCUACGCGAAGAACCUUACCAGGACUUGACAUCUUCUGCCAAUCUAAGAGAUUAGACGUUCCCUUCGGGGACAGAAUGACAGGUGGUGCAUGGUUGUCGUCAGCUCGUGUCGUGAGAUGUUGGGUUAAGUCCCGCAACGAGCGCAACCCUUGUCUUUAGUUGCCAGCAUUAAGUUGGGCACUCUAGAGAGACUGCCGGUGAUAAACCGGAGGAAGGUGGGGGAUGACGUCAAAUCAUCAUGCCCCCUUAUGUCCUGGGCUACACACGU
Molecule: ribosomal RNA, 850 nt
Filed under: Fructilactobacillus sanfranciscensis
Lineage: Bacteria; Bacillati; Bacillota; Bacilli; Lactobacillales; Lactobacillaceae
Description: bacterial SSU rRNA
Rfam family: Bacterial small subunit ribosomal RNA
Source: RNAcentral